Peromyscus maniculatus bairdii (prairie deer mouse) is the source of this 3235-nucleotide non-coding RNA. Lineage: Eukaryota; Metazoa; Chordata; Mammalia; Rodentia; Cricetidae. The record is from RefSeq and is a predicted model, not a curated record.
CCCACAUCCCUUGCCUGCUUUCCUGACUUGCGUCCCUUCUCCUCCCCCUGCCCAGCCCCGAUCCGGGUUUAGGGCGCCGAGACCUAGGCGCACAGUGCACAGGAGUCCACUGAGCCGAAUUCCGCGAGUGAGGAACUCUGUCGCAGCAUCCUCGAUGAGAGUUGUGAGUGGAGACAUUUGCAGGUCCCUGCGUGAAGCAAGGAUAUGAACUUGCAGAGCGUUGGAGGCGACAGGUUUAAACGCAGAUGUAAACGCGCCCCUUUCCAUCAGCUUUGAUCAGGAGGUUCGAGCUCAGCAAAAUAGGCGAGAGAUCGAGAGACGCCUACGGGUUGACUUCUCAGCCGAGCCCAGGGGUUAGAGGCUGCGGGGCUCAAAGGGGCGCUAGACAAAGGACUAACUCUGACAUUGAUGGGUUGAAAUCUGAGGCUACAAAGAAAAAGAGGUUCUCUGCGACUUCGGCGCCGCUCGCGAGCUCCCUCCCCCUCCAGGCUGGCCCAGAGUAAGGUGCAGCCGGCCUUUCUCUGAAACUCCGCUCUCCCCUUGCCUCCUUUGGGCUGCGGGAACGUCUGAAAAACAUUGACACUCCAACCAGACCUGCUUUCCAAAUGCCCCCCCGCCCCCGCGCGCCCCAGAGCACACCCUCCCUCCUGAGGGUCUACCAUGAGUUACUUUACUGUGUCUGUAGCAGCGGAUGAAGGGGAAGGCCAAAGAACCGUUCGUGGCUGUAGUUGCAACUGUACAGCCCUGGUCCAAGGGCGGCUCCCCGCACCUUUCCACCUCCUCCCUGGGCUGUCUCCAGAGAUGCUUUGGAAGGCGGCGGGCCCUGGCGGACUUUCUUCUCCUUACCCCGGACGGGCGCAGCGGGGGCAGGGUUGGAGUGGAGAGCCUUGCAAUGUGGAGCCCAGGAUAGCACUUACCGGCCCCGCCGCCCAGGGUGGCGAGCUAAGCCGGGGUCGUGCGCUCAAGCUCCGGGGGAAUGUCCAGUGUUUGUAUGUGGUCUGAGCUCAGCCUGACUAUUUUUGUCCUAAAUUUGAAAGCACACAUCCACAAAGUUGUGGUCUUGACCGGUGUUUUCUAUAGCGAGCAAUGGAGUGAGCUGUGUCUGAACUAUUUCCCUAAUUCUCCAUCGGAUAGUAGAGGCCCUGGCUUAAGUGGUGAAGAGCUCUGUCUGCCGCAACCUUCUUGGCAGAGAGUGAACUCCACAGUUUUUUUUUUUUUUGUUUGUUUGUUUUUUGUUUUUUUGGUGGGGAGGGGGGCGGUCUAAAACUUCCAGUCUCCUCCUCCUAGGAGGAAUACGAUUCUGCCUCUGACCUGUUGAUUUUGCAUCCCGGGUCGUCGUCCCAUCUACGCAAACACCCCCACACUCCAGCCUUGGGUCCAUAGGACCCAAAGACCUGAUGUACGGAAAGGCGUAGCCUGGAUGGACGUCAGCAAUGUCAGAAACCUAGAGUCCACUACGCUCCUCCUCUCCAUCUUUCCACGAGUUUGGGAAACUUCUUGGCCCCGGGGACUUUGACCCACAUCUGCAUAUCUCAGCCCUAGCUUCCAAAAGUGCUGCUGGCUGUGGCGGGGGGUGUGUGGGGGGGGGGGGGGGGGGGGGGAGGGGGCAGACCUCAGUCCUCCUUUGUGAAGCGUGUUUGCGUUGGGGGAUUGGCAGCGAUGGCUUCCAGAUGGGCUGAAACCCUGCCCAUAUUUAUUUAAACUGGUUCCUCGCGGAGACCUGUGAAUCGGGCUCUGUAUGCGCUCGAGAAAAGCCCCAUUCAUGAGAGGCGAGGCCUGGUGGGUCGCGCCCCCCUCCCCCGCCCGGACUCCCCGAUCCCCUUCUCCCACAAUGCCCCCCUGUGCCCGCCUGCCGCCACCUCCCGGGCUCUGGCCCCGCGCGCAGCGGCGACUAAGCAAAACAGUUCCCCGAAAGAGGUAGCUUUUUAAUUGGCCGGCCACAAAGAAUCACUUAUGCCGCGCGGCGGUAACGAGGGGAACCCGAUCGGGCGGCCAGGAUGCUAUCUGUAGCCCCUUUCGUGCCACAGUUAAGGGUGGUGCUGGCUUCCUCCGACCGCACCUAGGGGAUCUGGUUACGGUGUUGGCUCCUUUCUGGGGGCAGUCAUUUAAUCCCACUUUUUACUCUCCGGGUGUCUGUCUGCCGGAGGGCAGUGUCCCGAGCCCCAGCCACAAAGAGUCGGCCAGUGGCUCUCACACCCAGGGGCCCGCCCCGCCCCGCCCCUGGCCCUCGCCGCCCCCGGGGCUCCCUUCCUGGGGAACCCGAUCAGCUUUCACGAUGCACCCUCCCCCGGCUUUCCUCGGGCUCCUCCAGGCUGUCGUGGGCGAUAGAGUGCUUUUUCUCAGUCAGGACUGGACACCAUUAGCUGACGCUGCCCUCUCAUCACCUCCAGCUAAUUUUAGCUCCGCUGGGGAAGGGGGUAUCCCAGCAGCUUCGACAUAUUUCCUGGGGCCCCCUCACCUUCCUCUUGAUUGUCUUGCCUGAAGGCUAGAUAGAUUCCUUCCAGUGGAAAAGAAAAGGGAGACUUUGAUUUUUGGAUUCUCGCUCUCCUUCAAGAGCAGAAGGCAGGCGCGUUUGUUUCUCUCCACGCCCCUUGGGUUUGCGGCUCUCCCGGCUAUUAUUCGCCCUCCGCUUUGGCCAUUGCUUUUGAGAUUUUAAUGAGAAAAACAGCGCUGGGCGCUGCCUAGCACGUGGUGCGGGCUCUUGGGUCCCUGGCGCUCUGAGAAGCUCUCUUGUCAGCACAGUUUUCGUGUGCAGGGCGAAUUCCAGACGGCAGGGCGCUGGUGGAGAGGGUCCAGUCCGAGCUAUUCUCUGCAUUCUGGGAGGAUGCAGGUCUAGACUGGUCAACCUCAGUCAAGGCCAGACAUUUAGAGCCUGCCGCCCCCCAUAGUGGGGCUGCCAGCUUCAGACUGAGACUCCUGGCCAAAGUGCCACUCACUGCGGGAGGGCCCAGCUUGCCUUUUAAGUUAUUGUUUAACAUAUUGUUUAUAUCUUCUAAUGUUUGUGGGUAGACGUCUCUGCAUUUUCUCUGAAUUUUCGCUGUCUCAUUAUCCCUAGAGGAUGACCAAAAAAAAAAAAAAAAAAAAAAAAGAAAAAGAAAAAAGAAAAAAGUCUUUGCUCUUCAGCUAGAGCAUCUCACUCUCCUUUAUUGCUGGGUCAUGAUUCCUACCGCAUCCCCCCCCCGCCCCCUCCAACAUACCCAUCUUGCACAAGACACAUAAGAGAUACCCCGGAAUG